UAGUUGGUUGGUGCAAAAGUAAUUGCGGUUUUUGCCAUUAAAAGUAAUGUCGAAAACCGCAAUUACUUUUGCACCAACCUAAUA
This is a microRNA precursor of Pan troglodytes (chimpanzee), 84 nucleotides long. It matches the Rfam family "mir-548 microRNA precursor family". The record is from Rfam. Lineage: Eukaryota; Metazoa; Chordata; Mammalia; Primates; Hominidae.